Molecule: ribosomal RNA, 1886 nt
Filed under: human gut metagenome
Description: bacterial LSU rRNA
Rfam family: Bacterial large subunit ribosomal RNA
Source: RNAcentral
UCAAGCUACAAAGAGCACAAGGGGAAUGCCUUGGCACCGAGAGCCGAAGAAGGACGUGACUAACUGCGAUAAGCUGCGGGGAGCCGUAAGUAGGCUUUGAUCCGCAGAUUUCCGAAUGGAGCAAUCCGGCAAGAGGAAAGUCUUGUCAUCAUAUACUGAAUACAUAGGUAUAUGAGGGGAACCGCCUGAACUGAAACAUCUAAGUAGGGUGAGGAAGAGAAAUCAACUGAGAUUCCGUAAGUAGUGGCGAGCGAACGCGGAAGAGGCCAAACCGAGAGUAGUAAUACUUUCGGGGUUCGGACAGAAUACGGUAUUGUAAAGGUUUAGUGGAAUGGAAUGGGAAGUCCAACCGAAGAAGGUGAGAGUCCUGUACACGAAAAGCCUGAACAGCCAUCUGUAUCCAGAGUACCGCCGGACACGUGAAACCCGGUGGGAAUACGGGGGGACCAUCCUCCAAGCCUAAAUACUACUCGGUGACCGAUAGUGAAGAAGUACUGUGAAGGAAAGGUGAAAAGUACCCCUGACGGGGAGUGAAAAAGAACCUGAAACCUUGUGUUUACAAGCACCGAAAGCUCAUCAAAGAGCGAUCGGGUACCUUUUGUAGAAUGGUCCGGCGAGUGAAUGUAACCGGCGAGGUUAAGCACUUAAGGUGUGAAGCCGCAGCGAGAGCAAGUCUGAAUAGGGCGUAUGAAGUCGGUUGUAUUCGACCCGAAACCGGGUGACCUACCCAUGGUCAGGUUGAAGUAAAGGUAAAACUUUAUGGAGGACCGAACCGACUCCCGUUGAAAUGGUAGCGGAUGAACUGUGGGUAGCGGAGAAAUUCCAAUCGAACCCGGAGAUAGCUGGUUCUCUCCGAAAUAGCUUUAGGGCUAGCCUUGAAAUAGAUUACCGGAGGUAAAGCACUGAAUUGGCUAGGGGCCGAGAGGUUACUGAACCUUAUCAAACUAAGAAUGCCGGAUAAUCGUUUUUCAGGAGUCAGACAGUGGGAGAUAAGUUUCAUUGUCAAAAGGGAAACAGCCCAGACCCACAGCUAAGGUCCCCAAGUAUAGUUAAGUGGAAAAGGAUGUGGAAUUGCACAGACAACCAGGAUGUUGGCUUAGAAGCAGCCACUCAUUAAAAGAGUGCGUAAUAGCUCACUGGUCGAGUGACUCUGCGCCGAAAAUUUAACGGGGCUAAACUAUACACCGAAGCUUGGGAUACAUCUAAUGUAUGGUAGGAGAGCGUUCUGUAUGGGGAGAAGUCGUAGCGAAAGCGGCGGUGGACUAUACAGAAGUGAGAAUGCCGGAAUAAGUAGCGAGAAUUAAGUGAGAAUCUUAAUGGCCGAAAGUCUAAGGUUUUUGGAGGAAGGUUCGUCCGCUCCAAGUAAGUCGGGAGCUAAGGUCAGGCCGAAAGGCGUAGCCGAUGCACAUACGGUUGAUAUUCCGUAACCAUCUGUAAUUUAAGCAAAGGGACACUUCAAAAGGGUGUGACCCGGGCGUUGGUUGACCCGGGCGUAAGGGACCGAAAUUAGAGUAGGGAAGCACACUUGGCUGAAGGCGAGAAAAGCUUUGCGUAUAGAAGCAGAUGCCCGUACCGCAAACCGACACAGGUGGACAGGAAGAGAAUUCUAAGGCCAGCGGGAGAAGGGUAGUUAAGGAACUCGGCAAAUUGACUCCGUAACUUCGGAAUAAGGAGUGCUCGAAAGAGCCGCAGAGAAUAGGCCCAGGCGACUGUUUAGCAAAAACACAGGUCUCUGCCAAAUCGAAAGAUGAAGUAUAGGGGCUGACACCUGCCCGGUGCCGGAAGGUUAAGAGGAGGAGUGAGAGCUCCGAAUUGAAGCCCCGGUAAACGGCGGCCGUAACUAUAACGGUCCUAAGGUAGCGAAAUUCCUUGUCGGGUAAGUUCCG